AAUAAAGAAGUAAAUAUUUACAUUUAGUUUCGACCUAAAAAUAAGGACUUAUAAAUCCUCAUAUUUUAG
RNAcentral lists this transfer RNA (69 nucleotides) under Signoretia aureola. Its description in RNAcentral is "tRNA-Arg". The record is from RNAcentral. Lineage: Eukaryota; Metazoa; Arthropoda; Insecta; Hemiptera; Cicadellidae.